Molecule: ribosomal RNA, 459 nt
Filed under: uncultured bacterium
Lineage: Bacteria
Description: partial 16S ribosomal RNA
Rfam family: Bacterial small subunit ribosomal RNA
Source: RNAcentral
CCUACGGGAGGCAGCAGUGAGGAAUAUUGGUCAAUGGGCGCGAGCCUGAACCAGCCAAGUCGCGUGAAGGAUGACUGCCCUCGGGGUUGUAAACUUCUUUUAUAUGGGAGUAAAGUGCAGUAUGUAUACUGCUUUGCAUGUACCUUAUGAAUAAGGAUCGGUAAACUCCGUGCCAACAGCCGGGGUAAUACGGAGGAUCCGAGCGUUAUCCGGAUUUAUGGGGUUUAAAGGGAGCGUAGGGGGGUUGUUAAGUCAGUUGUGAAAGUUUGCGGCAAAACCGUAAAUUGAAGUUGGUACUGGCAGACUUGAGUACAGUAGAGGUAGGCGGAAUUCGUGGUGUAGCGGUGAAAUGCUUAGAUAUCACGAAGAACUCCGAUGGCGAAGGCAGCCUGCUGGACUGUAACUGACGCUGAGGCUCGAAAGUGUGGGUAGCAAACAGGAUUAGAUACCCUGGUAGUC